Molecule: long non-coding RNA, 1432 nt
Organism: Pezoporus occidentalis (night parrot)
Lineage: Eukaryota; Metazoa; Chordata; Aves; Psittaciformes; Psittacidae
Exons: 2
Source: RefSeq, a predicted model, not a curated record
CAGAGAACCUAUGGGAAAGCUGUUUGAGAUCCAUGUCCCUUUGUUAGGUAUGUAUUUUGCUCGUACUUUAGUUUCACAAAUUUGAAUAAACUUAAGUAAAGAGAUUAAAGGGGAAAAGAAGCACUUAAAACUUGAUUUGAAAUGGUUCUCACUUUAUCACUGACUUAAUGACAAUGGGGAAAGUUUUCUGUGCUUCCCUACAUCCCCUUUUUUUUUUCUUUCCAUAUUUUUAAAAUGGUGCACUGUAACAUUUUAUUUAUUCUUCCACUGGUUUAAGUAACUAUACAGAAAACUGGGUUUACUAUUUUAACACGACUGUCAUCCCCCUUUUGUACCCUGCUUGUUUUGCUAGGACUUGAUUUGUUGUUUUGCAACUACAUUUAAUAAGUGAUGAAUGUCGGCAAGGUAUUUUGAGAUUAUGGGUCCACUGUUGCCUAUUCAGAAGCAAAAUUUACUGUUGAAGUCACUGAGAGUUUUGUCCUACUAAGUUCCUUAGGAUUAAUUUCUUUCUGUUGUUGUUGUUCAACAUGUAGCAAGAGGUUUUAGUGUUUGUCUAAAUACUCAGGCUUGGAAACAAGCCUUCUAAAUAUGGGUGGUCCCCAAGGUAUGAUUCUAACAGAGGAUAUGAAAAGGCCGGGCAGCAAGACUUCAUACCUCAGGGACAUACAAAGAUGAUAUGCUCUUACUAGUACCUUUCUGGGCUUUAGAAAGUUGCAUUAAGAAAGGAAAGGAAGACUUGAGAGAGAUGGAGGGUAGGUGGGGGGAAGAAGAUAAUCUAAUGCAUGUAGAACCUUAGGUUAUGAACCUCUUUGUGUUCAACUAGGGGAUGAUGUAAACUUUAAGCUUCAUGAGGAAGAUCUGGGUACAAUUCCUUACUUUUACAUGUACUUGGGCAAGUCAUAUAGGUCUAAAUACAUCUUCAUCUGUAUAGUGGUGAUUCUGGUGUUUUCUUCCUCUUCAGAAGAGAUAUGCUGUAGAUUAGUAUUUUUUUUUUUUAUGGGAGCCAGGGCAGUGCAGUAUGCAGGUGCAGAAAGCCUGUUGGCAUUGACUGUAAUUAGGGUAAAAUCCUACUUUCUUCAAAGGCAGGCAUCAUUUACCAAGCAUGUCAAACCCAGCAGCUUCUUCUGUCUCCAUUUUAGAAGAUGCAUGCAUUUAACUACAGAAUAUAUUCAUCAUAUCUCCCAGAGAAAUGAAUAAUACCAUGAGGAGCUAUUUAAUCAUGAGCAUGGAGAUUGCUCUGCAGAUUGCUGUACUCUGACAGUGCCAGUCAAGAUGGAAUAAGAAAAAUUAUGCUGGGAAACAAGGUGUCAGGUUUAUAGUUACUUAAAACCAGUAAACAUAGUCUGUACUUUCUUAACAACAGAGAAAUAUGUACAGAGGGAAGCAACAACAUCUGUUCUUAUUAACUAAAUUGAACAAUACAAAAUUAGAA